GAUGAAGAACGUAGCGAAAUGCGAUAAGUAGUGUGAAUUGCAGAAUUCAGUGAAUCAUCGAAUCUUUGAACGCACAUUGCGCCCCUUGGUAUUCCAUGGGGCAUGCCUGUUCGAGCGUCAUUUGUACCUUCAAGCUUUGCUUGGUGUUGGGUGUUUGUCUCGCCUUUGCGUGUAGACUCGCCUUAAAAUAAUUGGCAGCCGGCGUAUUGAUUUCGGAUCGCAGUACAUCUCGCGCUUUGCACUCAUAACGACAGCGUCCAAAAGUACAUUUUACACUCUUGACCUCGGAUCAGGUAGGGAUACCCGCUGAACUUAAGCAUAUCAAUAAGCGGAGGA
Molecule: unclassified non-coding RNA, 336 nt
Filed under: soil metagenome
Description: partial contains 5.8S ribosomal RNA, internal transcribed spacer 2, and large subunit ribosomal RNA
Rfam family: 5.8S ribosomal RNA (bases 1-120)
Source: RNAcentral